This 889-nucleotide ribosomal RNA is filed under the name uncultured Planctomycetota bacterium. RNAcentral describes it as "bacterial SSU rRNA". It matches the Rfam family "Bacterial small subunit ribosomal RNA", at positions 1 to 865 of the family's 1533-position model. Lineage: Bacteria; Pseudomonadati; Planctomycetota. The record is from RNAcentral.
ACUAGUAACGGCCGCCAGUGUGCUGGAAUUCGCCCUUGGAUUAGGCAUGCAAGUCGAACGAGAACGGUUCCUUCGGGAGCCUAUUAAAGUGGCGAAAGGGUGAGUAAUGCAUAGGCAACCUACCUCUGAGAUUGGAAUAACUUCGCGAAAGUGUCGCUAAUUCUGAAUAAUACUACGAGUCGCAUGGCUUGUUUUUAAAGAUUGUUCUGCUUUCGCUCAGAGAGGGGCCUAUGUCCUAUUAGCUUGUUGGUAGAGUAACGGCCUACCAAGGCUUCGAUGGGUAGCCGGCCUGAGAGGGCGAUCGGCCACACUGGGACUGAGACACUGCCCAGACUCCUACGGGAGGCUGCAGUCGAGAAUCUUCCGCAAUGCGCGCAAGCGUGACGGAGCGACGCCGCGUGAGGGAUGAAGGCCUUCGGGUUGUAAACCUCUGUCACCAGGGAAGAAAUCCAUGUGGUUAAUAGCUGUCAUGGUUGACGUUACCUGGAGAGGAAGCACCGGCUAAAUACGUGCCAGCAGCCGCGGUAAUACGUAUGGUGCAAACGUUGUUCGGAAUCACUGGGUUUAAAGAGCACGUAGGCGGUUGAGAAAGUCUGAUGUGAAAUCCCUCGGCUUAACCGAGGAAUUGCAUUGGAAACUUCUUAGCUAGAGUGUAGGAGGGGAGAGUGGAAUUCCUGGUGGAGCGGUGAAAUGCGUAGAUAUCAGGAGGAACGCCGGAGGCGAAAGCGACUCUCUGGCCUGCUACUGACGCUGAGGUGCGAAAGCUAGGGGAGCGAACGGGAUUAGAUACCCCGGUAGUCCUAGCCCUAAACGAUGGGCACUAAGUAGAGGGAAGGGCGAAUUCUGCAGAUAUCCAUCACACUGGCGGCCGCUCGAGCAUGCAUCUAGA